Molecule: ribosomal RNA, 253 nt
Filed under: uncultured bacterium
Lineage: Bacteria
Description: partial 16S ribosomal RNA
Rfam family: Archaeal small subunit ribosomal RNA
Source: RNAcentral
UACCAGCACCCCGAGUGGUCGGGACGUUUAUUGGGCCUAAAGCAUCCGUAGCCGGUUCUACAAGUCUUCCGUUAAAUCCAACUGCUUAACAGGUGGGCUGCGGAAGAUACUAUAGAGCUAGGAGGCGGGAGAGGCAAGCGGUACUCGAUGGGUAGGGGUAAAAUCCGUUGAUCCAUUGAAGACCACCAGUGGCGAAGGCGGGUCUCUGGGCCGUUACUGACGCUGAGGAGCGAAAGCGUGGGGAGCGAACAGG